This is a non-coding RNA of Brachypodium distachyon (stiff brome), 136 nucleotides long. The record is from Rfam. NCBI's taxonomy places the organism in Eukaryota, Viridiplantae, Streptophyta, Magnoliopsida, Poales, Poaceae.
GUGUUACUCCCUCCAUCCUAAAGAGGAUGUCGCAAAUUUCUCAAAAUAUAGAUUUACCUAGACAUGUUUUAGUGUCUAGAUACAUCAGAAUUUAGACAAAUUUUAGACAUCUUUUUCGGGACGGAGAGAGUAGUAU